CCUACGGGUGGCAGCAGUGGGGAAUAUUGCACAAUGGGGGAAACCCUGAUGCAGCGACGCCGCGUGAGUGAAGAAGUAAUUCGUUAUGUAAAGCUCUAUCAGCAGGGAAGAAAAUGACGGUACCUGAGUAAGAAGCCCCGGCUAACUAAGGGCCAGCAGCCGCGGUAAUACGUAGGGGGCAAGCGUUAUCCGGAUUUACUGGGUGGAAAGGGAGCGUAGACGGCAGUGCAAGGCUGGAGUGAAAGGCGGGGGGCCACCCCCCGGACAGCUCUGGAAACUGUACGGCUGGAGUGCAGGAGAGGUAAGUUGAAUUCCUAGUGUAGCGGUGAAAUGCGUAGAUAUUAGGAGGAACACCAGUGGCGAGGGCUGCUUACUGGACUGUAACUGACGUUGAGGCUCGAAAGCGUGGGGAGCAAACAGGAUUAGAUACCCUGGUAGUC
RNAcentral lists this ribosomal RNA (440 nucleotides) under uncultured bacterium. Its description in RNAcentral is "partial 16S ribosomal RNA". It matches the Rfam family "Bacterial small subunit ribosomal RNA", at positions 338 to 795 of the family's 1533-position model. The record is from RNAcentral.